CAGCCGCCACGGUAACACGAAGGGGGCUAGCGUUGUUCGGAAUAACUGGGCGUAAAGGGCGCGUAGGCGGAUCUUUAAGUCAGGGGUGAAAUCCCAAGGCUCAACCUUGGAACUGCCUUUGAUACUGGAGAUCUUGAGUCCGGGAGAGGUGAGUGGAACUGCGAGUGUAGAGGUGAAAUUCGUAGAUAUUCGCAAGAACACCAGUGGCGAAGGCGGCUCACUGGCCCGGUACUGACGCUGAGGCGCGAAAGCGUGGGGAGCAAACAGGAUUAGAUACCCCAGUAGUCCCUGUCUCUUAUAC
RNAcentral lists this ribosomal RNA (301 nucleotides) under uncultured bacterium. RNAcentral describes it as "partial 16S ribosomal RNA". It matches the Rfam family "Bacterial small subunit ribosomal RNA", at positions 509 to 807 of the family's 1533-position model. The record is from RNAcentral.